GUACGCUGGCGGCACGCCUUAUACAUGCAAGUCGAACGCAGUAGCAAUACUGAGUGGCAAACGGGUGAGUAUAAUGUGGGAAUCUGCCUUUUGGUUUGGAAUAACACGGGGAAACUUGUGCUAAUACCGGAUAAGCCUUCACAGGGAAAGUUUUAUACGCCGAAAGAUGAGCCCGCACUUGAUUAGCUAGUUGGUGAGGUAAAAGCUUACCAAGGCGAUAAUCAAUAGCUGGUCUGAGAGGAUGAUCAGCCACAUUGGGACUGAGACACGGCCCAGACUCCUACGGGAGGCAGCAGUAAGGAAUCUUGCACAAUGGGGGAAACCCUGAUGCAGCGAUGCCGCGUGAGUGAAGAAGGCCCUUGGGUUGUAAAACUCUUUCGUCGGGGAAGAAAAUGACUGUACCCGAAUAAGAAGGUCCGGCUAA
Molecule: ribosomal RNA, 424 nt
Filed under: uncultured bacterium
Lineage: Bacteria
Description: bacterial SSU rRNA
Rfam family: Bacterial small subunit ribosomal RNA
Source: RNAcentral